CCUACGGGUGGCAGCAGUGAGGAAUAUUGGUCAAUGGGCGCGAGCCUGAACCAGCCAAGUAGCGUGAAGGAUGACUGCCCUACGGGUUGUAAACUUCUUUUAUAAACGAAUAAAGUGCGGCACGCGUGCCUUUUUGUAUGUACCUUAUGAAUGAGGAUCGGCUAACUCCGUGCCAGCAGCCGCGGUAAUACGGAGGAUCCGAGCGUUAUCCGGAUUUAUUGGGUUUAAAGGGAGCGUAGAUGGGUUGUUAAGUCAGUGGUGAAAGUUUGAGGCUCAACCGUAUAAUUACAAUUGAACCUGGCAGCCUUGGGUAGAGUGGAGGUAGGCGGAAUUCGGGGUGUAGCGGGAAAAUGCU
This 355-nucleotide ribosomal RNA is filed under the name uncultured bacterium. Its description in RNAcentral is "partial 16S ribosomal RNA". It matches the Rfam family "Bacterial small subunit ribosomal RNA", at positions 338 to 690 of the family's 1533-position model. The record is from RNAcentral.